RNAcentral lists this ribosomal RNA (465 nucleotides) under Vreelandella stevensii. Its description in RNAcentral is "partial 16S ribosomal RNA". It matches the Rfam family "Bacterial small subunit ribosomal RNA", at positions 338 to 795 of the family's 1533-position model. The record is from RNAcentral. Lineage: Bacteria; Pseudomonadati; Pseudomonadota; Gammaproteobacteria; Oceanospirillales; Halomonadaceae.
CCUACGGGUGGCUGCAGUGGGGAAUAUUGGACAAUGGGGGCAACCCUGAUCCAGCCAUGCCGCGUGUGUGAAGAAGGCCCUCGGGUUGUAAAGCACUUUCAGUGAGGAAGAACGCCUGGUGGUUAAUACCCAUCAGGAAAGACAUCACUCACAGAAGAAGCACCGGCUAACUCCGUGCCAGCAGCCGCGGUAAUACGGUGGGUGCGAGCGUUAAUCGGAAUUACUGGGCGUAAAGCGCGCGUAGGUGGCUUGAUAAGCCGGUUGUGAAAGCCCCGGGCUCAACCUGGGAACGGCAUCCGGAACUGUCAAGCUAGAGUGCAGGAGAGGAAGGUAGAAUUCCCGGUGUAGCGGUGAAAUGCGUAGAGAUCGGGAGGAAUACCAGUGGCGAAGGCGGCCUUCUGGACUGACACUGACACUGAGGUGCGAAAGCGUGGGUAGCAAACAGGAUUAGAUACCCGGGUAGUC